RNAcentral lists this non-coding RNA (29 nucleotides) under Mus musculus (house mouse). Lineage: Eukaryota; Metazoa; Chordata; Mammalia; Rodentia; Muridae. The record is from RNAcentral.
UGAUCAUCUAGGUGUCAGCUGCCUUCUUC